AUUCCGUUAUGUUGACACUUUCUAACAAUAUCCUUAAACCUCUCCCAUGCUUCCAACACAAUUUCAAUCUCGUUCUAGCAAAACUUAUGGAUUUCUCUUCUGAACUU
RNAcentral lists this small nucleolar RNA (107 nucleotides) under Nicotiana sylvestris (wood tobacco). RNAcentral describes it as "Plant small nucleolar RNA R71". It matches the Rfam family "Plant small nucleolar RNA R71". Rfam says of the family: R71 is a member of the C/D box family of snoRNAs containing the C (UGAUGA) and D (CUGA) box motifs. Multiple nearly identical copies of this snoRNA have been identified in Arabidopsis, and it is thought to function as a 2'-O-ribose methylation guide for 18S ribosomal RNA. The record is from Rfam by way of RNAcentral. RNAcentral also lists the same sequence under 1 other name. Lineage: Eukaryota; Viridiplantae; Streptophyta; Magnoliopsida; Solanales; Solanaceae.